This 1194-nucleotide ribosomal RNA is filed under the name uncultured fungus. RNAcentral describes it as "eukaryotic LSU rRNA". The stretch from base 573 to 1194 matches the Rfam family "Eukaryotic large subunit ribosomal RNA", at positions 1 to 648 of the family's 3401-position model. Lineage: Eukaryota; Fungi. The record is from RNAcentral.
AAGUCGUAACAAGGUUUCCGUAGGUGAACCUGCGGAAGGAUCAUUAGCGAAGUCGAGUCCGGAUCCGUAGGGAUUGCAGCUGGCCUAACGGCAUGUGCUCGUCCCUCGGGUCCGUGACCUUCACUACCACACCCCACUGUGAACCAAGCGGGAGGUCGAAAGGCCUCUUGCGUCUUAUAAAAACCCCAAUCGCAUGUCUUAGAAUGUCAUGGCGUUAACUCGCAAAUAUAUAACUUUCAACAACGGAUCUCUUGGCUCUCGCAUCGAUGAAGAACGCAGCGAAAUGCGAUAAGUAAUGUGAAUUGCAGAAUUCAGUGAAUCAUCGAAUCUUUGAACGCACCUUGCACCCCUUGGUAUUCCGAGGGGUACGCCUGUUUGAGUGUCGUGAACUCCUCCAACUCCGGUUCUCCGAAGUAUGGGAUUUGGGUGUUGCCGGUCCCUGGCAGACCGGCUCGCCUUAAAUGCAUUAGCGAAGCCCUUGCGGCCUUGGCAGUGAUAAUCAUCCGCGCCUCGGCUUAGCGACUUUGAAGGGGAAUCGCUUACAACCGUCCUCCGGGACAAUCACUACGACUUGACCUCAGAUCAGGUGGGACUACCCGCUGAACUUAAGCAUAUCAAUAAGCGGAGGAAAAGAAACUAACAAGGAUUCCCCUAGUAACUGCGAGUGAAGCGGGAUGAGCUCAAAUUUAAAAUCUGGCGUCUUCGGGCGUCCGAGUUGUAAUUUAGAGAAGUGUUUUCCGCGCCGGACCGUGUACAAGUCUCCUGGAACGGAGCGUCAUAGAGGGUGAGAAUCCCGUCUUUGACACGGACUACCGUGUGCUAUGUGAUACGCUCUCGAAGAGUCGAGUUGUUUGGGAAUGCAGCUCAAAACGGGUGGUGAACUCCAUCUAAAGCUAAAUAUUGGCGAGAGACCGAUAGCGAACAAGUACCGUGAGGGGAAGAUGAAAAGCACUUUGGAAAGAGAGUGAAACAGUACGUGAAAUUGUUGAAAGGGAAACGCUUGAAGUCAGUCGCGUCGGCCGGGAUUCAGCCUCACGGUGUACUUUCCGGUCGACGGGUCAGCAUCACUUUCGGACGUCGGAAAAGGGUUUGAGGAACGUGGCACCUCCGGGUGUGUUAUAGCCUCCUAUCGUAUACGGCGACCGGGAGUGAGGAAUGCCUUUGUAGGAUGCUGGCGUAAUGGCUUUAAACGAC